UUUACAUUUGUCUGCGAUCGGAUGUAGAUUGUUGUUCGUUUAUAUGUUUUAUGUUUAUUGGAAAAGGUGCGAGAUUUUGUGAGGAUUUAAUUACUUGGAUAUAUAGCAAAAUGGUUGUGGAUAAUUCAAAGAAUUUUACUGUAGAAAUAAUGUUUACAAAGGAAAGUAACGUCUUAUACUGCUAGUUAUAAGACCUUGGAGAAAUGAUAUGGACUAAGAUAAAAGUCAUGGAGAUAAAAUUGCACAUUUGGAUGCACUCACAGAAAAUGUGGUCACUUAUGCGGAGUUGCAAGACAAAGUCGUGAGAUGCG
Molecule: non-coding RNA, 311 nt
Organism: Nylanderia fulva
Lineage: Eukaryota; Metazoa; Arthropoda; Insecta; Hymenoptera; Formicidae
Source: RefSeq, a predicted model, not a curated record